CAGCCGCCGCGGGAAUACGAAGGGUGCAAGCGUUACUCGGAAUUACUGGGCGUAAAGCGUGCGUAGGUGGUUGUUUAAGUCUGUUGUGAAAGCCCUGGGCUCAACCUGGGAAUUGCAGUGGAUACUGGGUCACUAGAGUGUGGUAGAGGAUAGUGGAAUUUCCGGUGUAGCAGUGAAAUGCGUAGAGAUCGGAAGGAACAUCUGUGGCGAAGGCGACUAUCUGGGCCAACACUGACACUGAGGCACGAAAGCGUGGGGAGCAAACAGGAUUAGAUACCCCAGUAGUCCCUGUCUCUUAUAC
This 301-nucleotide ribosomal RNA is filed under the name uncultured bacterium. RNAcentral describes it as "partial 16S ribosomal RNA". It matches the Rfam family "Bacterial small subunit ribosomal RNA", at positions 509 to 807 of the family's 1533-position model. The record is from RNAcentral.